GGGCUCGUAGCUCAAUGGUAGAGCAGGGGACUCAUAAUCCCUGUGUUCCAGGUUCAAGUCCUGGCGGGCCCA
Molecule: transfer RNA, 72 nt
Filed under: Planctomycetota bacterium
Lineage: Bacteria; Pseudomonadati; Planctomycetota
Also listed under: 1 other name
Description: Planctomycetes bacterium tRNA-Met
Rfam family: tRNA
About the family: Transfer RNA (tRNA) molecules are approximately 80 nucleotides in length. Their secondary structure includes four short double-helical elements and three loops (D, anti-codon, and T loops).
Source: RNAcentral